AGAUUUGGUUGUAGAGCGCAACCAAGUAAAAAUAAAAAAAGCUCAAUUGAA
The submitters of this non-coding RNA (51 nucleotides) gave its source as unclassified sequences. The record is from Rfam.